GUGCGGCCUAAAUUUUUCAGGCGGCGCCGAUUCGAAAAAUACUUGAAAAAACAGGCGCAGCCACAAUUUCCCUGGUGUUGGCGCAGUAUUCGCGCACCCCGGUUAAGC
RNAcentral lists this small RNA (108 nucleotides) under Enterobacter sichuanensis. RNAcentral describes it as "ArcZ RNA". It matches the Rfam family "ArcZ RNA". Rfam says of the family: This RNA was discovered in E. coli during a large scale screen. SraH expression is highly abundant in stationary phase, but low levels could be detected in exponentially growing cells as well. The record is from RNAcentral. Lineage: Bacteria; Pseudomonadati; Pseudomonadota; Gammaproteobacteria; Enterobacterales; Enterobacteriaceae.